CGCGUAGGCGGUUUGGUCAGUUGGAUGUGAAAGCCCAGGGCUUAACCUUGGAAUUGCAUUCAAUACUGCCAGGCUAGAGUACGGUAGAGGGGGGUAGAAUUCCACGUGUAGCGGUGAAAUGCGUAGAGAUGUGGAGGAAUACCAGUGGCGAAGGCCGGCCCCCUGGAUCGAUACUGACGCUGAGGUGCGAAAGCGGUGGGGAGCAAACA
Molecule: ribosomal RNA, 209 nt
Filed under: uncultured bacterium
Lineage: Bacteria
Description: partial 16S ribosomal RNA
Rfam family: Bacterial small subunit ribosomal RNA
Source: RNAcentral